This 668-nucleotide ribosomal RNA is filed under the name Pseudomonas sp. H5. RNAcentral describes it as "partial 16S ribosomal RNA". It matches the Rfam family "Bacterial small subunit ribosomal RNA", at positions 840 to 1499 of the family's 1533-position model. The record is from RNAcentral. Lineage: Bacteria; Pseudomonadati; Pseudomonadota; Gammaproteobacteria; Pseudomonadales; Pseudomonadaceae.
UUAGUGGCGCAGCGNAACGCAUUUUAGUUGUCCCGCCCUGGGGAGGCNGGGCCNCCAAGGUUANAACUCAAAUGAAUUGNGGGGGGCCCGCGCAAGCGGUGGAGCAUGUGGNUUAANNCGAANCAACGCGAAGACCCUUUCCAGGCCUUGACAUNCAAAUGAACNUUCUAGAGAUAGAUUGGUGCCUUCGGGANCAUUGAGACAGGUGCUGCAUGGCUGUCGUCAGCUCGUGUCGUGAGAUGUUGGGUUAAGUCCCGUAACGAGCGCAACCCUUGUCCUUAGUUACCAGCACGUAAUGGUGGGCNCUCUAAGGAGACUGCCGGUGNCAAACCGGAGGAAGGUGGGGAUGNCGUCAAGUCAUCAUGGCCCUUUCGGCCUGGGCUACACACGUGCUNCAAUGGUCGGUACAGAGGGUUGCCNAGCCGCGAGGUGGAGCUAAUCCCAGAAACCCGAUCGUAGUCCGGAUCGCAGUCUGCAACUCGNCUGCGUGAAGUCGGAAUCGCUAGUAAUCGCGAAUCAGAAUGUCGCGGUGAAUACGUUCCCGGGCCUUGUACNCNCCGCCCGUCCCACCAUGNCAGUGGGUUGCACCAGAAGUAGCUAGUAAUAACCUUCGGGAGGACGGUUNCCNCGGUGUGAUUCAUCCCUGGGGUGAAGUCGUAGCAAGGGAG